RNAcentral lists this unclassified non-coding RNA (353 nucleotides) under soil metagenome. Its description in RNAcentral is "partial contains 5.8S ribosomal RNA, internal transcribed spacer 2, and large subunit ribosomal RNA". The stretch from base 1 to 120 matches the Rfam family "5.8S ribosomal RNA", at positions 35 to 154 of the family's 154-position model. The record is from RNAcentral.
GAUGAAGAACGUAGCAAAAUGCGAUAAGUAAUGUGAAUUGCAGAAUUCAGUGAAUCAUCGAAUCUUUGAACGCACAUUGCGCCCGCCAGUAUUCUGGCGGGCAUGCCUGUUCGAGCGUCAUUACAACCCUCAGGCCCCCGGGCCUGGCGUUGGGGAUCGGCGGAAGCCCCCUGCGGGCACAACGCCGUCCCCCAAAUACAGUGGCGGUCCCGCCGCAGCUUCCAUUGCGUAGUAGCUAACACCUCGCAACUGGAGAGCGGCGCGGCCACGCCGUAAAACACCCAACUUCUGAAUGUUGACCUCGAAUCAGGUAGGAAUACCCGCUGAACUUAAGCAUAUCAAUAAGCGGAGGA